This 207-nucleotide long non-coding RNA is filed under the name Setaria viridis. Its description in RNAcentral is "long non-coding RNA (SVIR_LNC004454)". The record is from RNAcentral. Lineage: Eukaryota; Viridiplantae; Streptophyta; Magnoliopsida; Poales; Poaceae.
CAGAAUUGUUUUCCAAACUAGAUCUCCCACCUGAAAUGUUUUGGCUUUAACUUUUUUGUUGUAUGCCUUAGCCCUCGAACUUUAUCCCUUUCAAUCUUAGCUAAAGCUUCCAUCCGCUUGUCGGUCACUUCAUCAACAUUAUCCAUCAUCAAAGCAUAAUAAGUAUCGAAAUGAAGAUUAUCUUGCUUAGCUAACCUAUAUCCACCC